RNAcentral lists this ribosomal RNA (550 nucleotides) under Escherichia coli. RNAcentral describes it as "bacterial SSU rRNA". It matches the Rfam family "Bacterial small subunit ribosomal RNA", at positions 976 to 1526 of the family's 1533-position model. The record is from RNAcentral. Lineage: Bacteria; Pseudomonadati; Pseudomonadota; Gammaproteobacteria; Enterobacterales; Enterobacteriaceae. RNAcentral also lists the same sequence under 1 other name.
UGGUCUUGACAUCCACGGAAGUUUUCAGAGAUGAGAAUGUGCCUUCGGGAACCGUGAGACAGGUGCUGCAUGGCUGUCGUCAGCUCGUGUUGUGAAAUGUUGGGUUAAGUCCCGCAACGAGCGCAACCCUUAUCCUUUGUUGCCAGCGGUCCGGCCGGGAACUCAAAGGAGACUGCCAGUGAUAAACUGGAGGAAGGUGGGGAUGACGUCAAGUCAUCAUGGCCCUUACGACCAGGGCUACACACGUGCUACAAUGGCGCAUACAAAGAGAAGCGACCUCGCGAGAGCAAGCGGACCUCAUAAAGUGCGUCGUAGUCCGGAUUGGAGUCUGCAACUCGACUCCAUGAAGUCGGAAUCGCUAGUAAUCGUGGAUCAGAAUGCCACGGUGAAUACGUUCCCGGGCCUUGUACACACCGCCCGUCACACCAUGGGAGUGGGUUGCAAAAGAAGUAGGUAGCUUAACCUUCGGGAGGGCGCUUACCACUUUGUGAUUCAUGACUGGGGUGAAGUCGUAACAAGGUAACCGUAGGGGAACCUGCGGUUGGAUCAC